Small RNA from Blautia sp. An46, 158 nucleotides. It matches the Rfam family "Clostridiales-1 RNA". The record is from Rfam. Lineage: Bacteria; Bacillati; Bacillota; Clostridia; Lachnospirales; Lachnospiraceae.
UGAUACUAGGGGCGAAAGCUCAGGCAUUUCAUGCUUGCAUGAAUAUGCCUGAAUUUGAGCCCCGUCAAAACAUGAGCAUGGAAACCGGCAGGUUGGAAUGCGAAUGUUUUUCUGAAUUGCGGGAGCCUGCAGGGCGGAGCAAUUCAGGGGGGAUAUCA